This 1480-nucleotide ribosomal RNA is filed under the name Salmonella enterica subsp. indica. RNAcentral describes it as "partial 23S ribosomal RNA". It matches the Rfam family "Bacterial large subunit ribosomal RNA", at positions 1489 to 2925 of the family's 2925-position model. The record is from RNAcentral. Lineage: Bacteria; Pseudomonadati; Pseudomonadota; Gammaproteobacteria; Enterobacterales; Enterobacteriaceae.
GGCCGGGCGACGGUUGUCCCGGUUUAAGCGUGUAGGCUGGUUUUCCAGGCAAAUCCGGAAAAUCAAGGCUGAGGCGUGACGACGAGGCACCACGGUGCUGAAGCAACAAAUGCCCUGCUUCCAGGAAAAGCCUCUAAGCAUCAGGUAACACGAAAUCGUACCCCAAACCGACACAGGUGGUCAGGUAGAGAAUACCAAGGCGCUUGAGAGAACUCGGGUGAAGGAACUAGGCAAAAUGGUGCCGUAACUUCGGGAGAAGGCACGCUGACACGUAGGUGAAGUGAUUUACUCAUGGAGCUGAAGUCAGUCGAAGAUACCAGCUGGCUGCAACUGUUUAUUAAAAACACAGCACUGUGCAAACACGAAAGUGGACGUAUACGGUGUGACGCCUGCCCGGUGCCGGAAGGUUAAUUGAUGGGGUUAUCCUCGCGGAGAAGCUCCUGAUCGAAGCCCCGGUAAACGGCGGCCGUAACUAUAACGGUCCUAAGGUAGCGAAAUUCCUUGUCGGGUAAGUUCCGACCUGCACGAAUGGCGUAAUGAUGGCCAGGCUGUCUCCACCCGAGACUCAGUGAAAUUGAACUCGCUGUGAAGAUGCAGUGUACCCGCGGCAAGACGGAAAGACCCCGUGAACCUUUACUAUAGCUUGACACUGAACAUUGAGCCUUGAUGUGUAGGAUAGGUGGGAGGCUUUGAAGCGUGGACGCCAGUCUGCGUGGAGCCAACCUUGAAAUACCACCCUUUAAUGUUUGAUGUUCUAACGUGGACCCGUUACCCGGGUUGCGGACAGUGUCUGGUGGGUAGUUUGACUGGGGCGGUCUCCUCCCAAAGAGUAACGGAGGAGCACGAAGGUUGGCUAAUCCUGGUCGGACAUCAGGAGGUUAGUGCAAUGGCAUAAGCCAGCUUGACUGCGAGCGUGACGGCGCGAGCAGGUGCGAAAGCAGGUCAUAGUGAUCCGGUGGUUCUGAAUGGAAGGGCCAUCGCUCAACGGAUAAAAGGUACUCCGGGGAUAACAGGCUGAUACCGCCCAAGAGUUCAUAUCGACGGCGGUGUUUGGCACCUCGAUGUCGGCUCAUCACAUCCUGGGGCUGAAGUAGGUCCCAAGGGUAUGGCUGUUCGCCAUUUAAAGUGGUACGCGAGCUGGGUUUAGAACGUCGUGAGACAGUUCGGUCCCUAUCUGCCGUGGGCGCUGGAGAACUGAGGGGGGCUGCUCCUAGUACGAGAGGACCGGAGUGGACGCAUCACUGGUGUUCGGGUUGUCAUGCCAAUGGCACUGCCCGGUAGCUAAAUGCGGAAGAGAUAAGUGCUGAAAGCAUCUAAGCACGAAACUUGCCCCGAGAUGAGUUCUCCCUGAGACCUUGAGUCUCCUGAAGGAACGUUGAAGACGACGACGUUGAUAGGCCGGGUGUGUAAGCGCAGCGAUGCGUUGAGCUAACCGGUACUAAUGAACCGUGAGGCUUAACCUUACAACGCCGAAGCUGUU